CCUACGGGAGGCAGCAGUAAGGAAUAUUGGUCAAUGGACGCAAGUCUGAACCAGCCAUGCCGCGUGAAGGAUUAAGGCCCUCUGGGUUGUAAACUUCUUUUAUAGGGGACGAAAAAAGGGCAUUCUUGCUCACUUGACGGUACCCUAGGAAUAAGCACCGGCUAACUCCGUGCCAGCAGCCGCGGUAAUACGGAGGGUGCAAGCGUUAUCUGGAUUUACUGGGUUUAAAGGGUGCGUAGGUGGGUUGGUAAGUCAGUGGUGAAAUCUUCGAGCUUAACUCGGAAACUGCCAUUGAUACUAUCAAUCUUGAAUCAUCUAGAGGUAAGCGGAAUAUGUCAUGUAGCGGUGAAAUGCUUAGAUAUGACAUAGAACACCAAUUGCGAAGGCAGCUUACUAUGGAUGUAUUGACACUGAGGCACGAAAGCGUGGGGAUCAAACAGGAUUAGAUACCCUGGUAGUCCACGCCCUAAACGAUGGAUACUCGACAUUUGUGAUAUACUAUAAGUGUCUGAGCGAAAGNAUAAUAUCCACCNGAGACGACGCGAGUAGAACGACAANAGAUAGAGGCGNGAGACGAGCGACGGACGACGACGAGGGAGGAGG
RNAcentral lists this ribosomal RNA (603 nucleotides) under uncultured bacterium. RNAcentral describes it as "bacterial SSU rRNA". The stretch from base 1 to 532 matches the Rfam family "Bacterial small subunit ribosomal RNA", at positions 338 to 873 of the family's 1533-position model. The record is from RNAcentral.